Molecule: long non-coding RNA, 357 nt
Organism: Melospiza melodia melodia
Lineage: Eukaryota; Metazoa; Chordata; Aves; Passeriformes; Passerellidae
Exons: 3
Source: RefSeq, a predicted model, not a curated record
CCCAGGAGGAGCCCCUGAGAAGACAGGAAGGACUGUGCUGCAGAGAAUGGAGAAGAGCCCCAGCUGAGAGGCAAGAACAACACUGCAGUGACGAUUACAACAACUGGUGACCCCGUGUGAGGAAGAACGCGCAGCCAAACAUCGAGAGAAGCUUCAUCUCCUGAUGUUUAAUGGAUUACAGGAAGCAGGGGCUUGUUUCUCCCUCCUAUGGCAUCCUCUUAAGACCACGGGCAGGUGACCUUGAAGAAAAAAGCCUGGAUCAAUACAGAAGUCCUCUACUGCAUCUUCAGAAACAUUAUAAAAAGUCCUGUACUUUAUAAAAGUGGAAGAGAUGACAAAAUUUGUGCUCAUUGUCAU